Molecule: ribosomal RNA, 253 nt
Filed under: uncultured bacterium
Lineage: Bacteria
Description: partial 16S ribosomal RNA
Rfam family: Bacterial small subunit ribosomal RNA
Source: RNAcentral
UACGAAGGGGGCUAGCGUUGCUCGGAAUCACUGGGCGUAAAGCGCACGUAGGCGGCUUUCUAAGUCAGGGGUGAAAUCCUGGAGCUCAACUCCAGAACGGCCUUUGAUACUGGGAAGCUCGAGUCCGGGAGAGGUGAGUGGAACUCCGAGUGUAGAGGUGAAAUUCGUAGAUAUUCGGAGGAACACCAGUGGCGAAGGCGGCUCACUGGUCCGGUACUGACGCUGAGGUGCGAAAGCGUGGGGAGCAAACAGG